CUUGGAUGUUAGUCCAACCCUGCGUACUUUCAUGAGGAUUUCAUAGGGAUUUGGAGGCAGAAGCACAGUCUUUAAGCUCUGGAUGCAUUUCUUUGCUUUCAUUUAUCACCAAUCUGUUUUAUACUAGAUCUUAUCUCAACCACUUCAUUCAUGCGAAAGCCUUUGGAUGCUUAAUAUAAUUUUGUGAAGGUUUCUAAGUCCUUUGGGCUUUGCUUAGGAACAUAGCAAACAAAGUUCUCAGCAUCUCAAAGGGAGGCUUAAAGGGAUAAAAAUAUGAAUUGUAGACAACCAGAGCUUUGCUGAACAUUUCGCUUCUGGGUUUACAGAGCAACUGGUCUAAUACAAAUACUGUUAUUUGGAAGUUACUUUGACCCAUGAUUGCCAUUGACCUAGCUGCAUUAUGCUCAGGGACUUGGGGGUCUGUGCAAUAGGGUGUAAGGAUGAUUUGCAUCACAGCCACCACUCCUGAAAAACAGCUGAAAUAUAUAGCACACACAGGGCCAGGCAGAGCAAAGGAGGAGUGGGCAGAGAAACCUAUGCUUCUGACACUUUCUCAUCUCUCUCUUCCUCACCUGCCCAUCUGUCCUCUAAUUCCAUGAAUUCAGAGAUGUCUGGGAUGAAAGUGAUGGAUGAAAUCAUUGGCCUUGACAGAUACCAUCCAAAGGAGGAUACUGUGGGGCAAUUAAUGGACCAAAACUGUUGAUAUUUCAGAUGUGACCCUUAUACCAGAAAGAUGCAGAGAGAGGCAGUGAGCCUUCCUGAGAUGCUUCAACUUCUAAAAUGUAAUAGUGAAAACUCGGUUAUGGACCAGGGUGGUUCAAGAGCAGCCUGUUUCCAAGCUAAAGUCAUAAUUUUACAGAUGAGGAUAUUGAGACCUGGAGAAUGGAGGAUACUUGGCUCAUGUUCCUGCCAAAGCAGCAGCAGGUCUGGGACUAGAAUCCACUCUCCUGAUGUCUGGUCAUGUCCCCUCUACAGGGUUCUGAUGAAAAGCCUGGCAUUCCAGGUGCCUCCCACUUAAUAUACAUGCGAAAGAGCCAUUGGGCACGUCUGCUCAGUCCUCCCAGCCACACCCUAUUUACUAAGAACAUUACAA
Molecule: long non-coding RNA, 1093 nt
Filed under: Canis lupus familiaris (dog)
Lineage: Eukaryota; Metazoa; Chordata; Mammalia; Carnivora; Canidae
Description: lncRNA (ENSCAFG00000050507.1)
Source: RNAcentral